This 255-nucleotide ribosomal RNA is filed under the name uncultured bacterium. Its description in RNAcentral is "partial 16S ribosomal RNA". It matches the Rfam family "Bacterial small subunit ribosomal RNA", at positions 524 to 776 of the family's 1533-position model. The record is from RNAcentral.
UACGUAGGGUGCGAGCGUUUAAUCGGAAUUACUGGGCGUAAAGCGUGCGCAGGCGGUCUGUUAAGACCGAUGUGAAAUCCCCGGGCUUAACCUGGGAACUGCAUUGGUGACUGGCAGGCUUUGAGUGUGGCAGAGGGAGGUAGAAUUCCACGUGUAGCAGUGAAAUGCGUAGAGAUGUGGAGGAAUACCGAUGGCGAAGGCAGCCUCCUGGGCCAACACUGACGCUCAUGCACGAAAGCGUGGGGAGCAAACAGG